CGUUAGUCAAUCUCCCUCUCUCUGUUGGGGUUCACAAAACCUUCCCAUAGUAACUCAGCGGGUCAAAGCCUUCCUUCCGCACUUUGAAUUCAAAUUAAGAUAUUUUAGGUUAUCCACUGGAUUUCAGCAGGACAUAGGGACUGAUGUGACUUGCCUGCUAGAGAAGGAGUACUGUACUUACAUGGCAUGCAUAGUGGGUAACCUUCAGCAUUUUACUGUAACAACUUCAUGGUGAGUACUGGCACAUCUCUCUUUUGGUUUAAAAGUGUGACACUUACCGUAACAAUUUCUUGGUGAGUACCGGCACCUAUUUUUCUAGGGGGGGGGGGGAGCACUGGCCAACGUUAAGCCAAUUUGCCAGCUUGGACUUAUUUGUAUCUGCCCAUUUUUACACCUCC
Long non-coding RNA from Zootoca vivipara (common lizard), 398 nucleotides. RefSeq lists it as uncharacterized. The record is from RefSeq and is a predicted model, not a curated record. Lineage: Eukaryota; Metazoa; Chordata; Lepidosauria; Squamata; Lacertidae.